AUGAAAUGUGAGAAUUGCAAGGCUGUGGCAGAUGAAUACAUAGAAUGUGAAAUCACGAUUAUUAUAAUAGAUUUAAUACUUCACAAACCCAAGGCCUAUAGACAUCUUCUUUACAAUGUCAUCAAUCAAGAAACCUUGAAGUUUCAGUUUAGCUACUGUAUAGUUGUGUUAGUGGCUUAUGAGGUUAUCAAUUUUGUUGUUCUACAUCAAAUUCGAGUUCCUUCUCUCUUUGUCAUAAACCCUAGUUUUAGAAAUUUUGGUGAACCUUGA
Non-coding RNA from Vicia faba (fava bean), 270 nucleotides. The record is from the annotation of a GenBank genome assembly. NCBI's taxonomy places the organism in Eukaryota, Viridiplantae, Streptophyta, Magnoliopsida, Fabales, Fabaceae.